Punica granatum (pomegranate) is the source of this 502-nucleotide non-coding RNA. NCBI's taxonomy places the organism in Eukaryota, Viridiplantae, Streptophyta, Magnoliopsida, Myrtales, Lythraceae. The record is from RefSeq and is a predicted model, not a curated record.
AUCAAAGCCCCUGCCCCCUUCCAUCUUUAUAUAUCACAUGACGGCAGUCUUCGAAGGUCCUUCGAUCGUUCCCUCGACAAAAGCCGUCGGCGACUGAUCUGCAGCGGAGCGACAGAGGGAGAGAGGGAGCCGAGGUUUUUCCAACAUGAGGGCUAAGUGGAAGAAGAAGAGAAUGAGGAGGCUGAAGAGGAAACGCAGAAAGAUGAGGCAGAGAUCGAAGUAGACGAGCUUUGCCUGAUACAGAUUGAGUUCUUCGCUCCGGCCUGCAUUUGUCUCGACAAUCUGUUGUAGUUACUGCAUUAGGUUGUUAAGAACAUGAUUCUGCUGAGAAGUGAAGUCUUCGUCUGUACUGUGUGUCAUUUUAGAUUCAGUAAUCGAGACUGUCAAUCUUACAUGGUGGUCACCAGAGAUUUUGUUCUCAUUUUCAAUGAUAUAUGCUCGACUCUAUGCUGCACCUUACUGAUUCUGUAUCAGAUGAAUUACUGUGUUGUAGUAUUAUCAA